RNAcentral lists this ribosomal RNA (324 nucleotides) under Aphaenops orcinus. Its description in RNAcentral is "Geotrechus orcinus partial 16S ribosomal RNA". Lineage: Eukaryota; Metazoa; Arthropoda; Insecta; Coleoptera; Carabidae. The record is from RNAcentral.
UUUAAUGGCUGCAGUAAUUUGACUGUACAAAGGUAGCAUAAUCAUUAGUUUUUUAAUUAAAAGCUUGUAUGAAAGGUUGGACGAAGUAAAUUCUGUCUCUUUUUAAUAUAAUUAGAAUUUAAUUUUUAAGUUAAAAAGCUUAAAUUUUUAUAAAAGACGAGAAGACCCUAUAGAGUUUUAUAAUUUUUUAAAAAUAAUUGAUUUAGAUUUAUUAAUUUUAUUUUUAAAAAAUUAUUUUAUUGGGGUAAUAAUAAGAUUAAAUUAAUUCUUUUAAAAAAAACCAUUAAUUUAUGAAAUAUAUGAUCCAUAAUUUAUGAUUAUAAG